RNAcentral lists this ribosomal RNA (315 nucleotides) under Damaeus onustus. RNAcentral describes it as "eukaryotic LSU rRNA". It matches the Rfam family "Eukaryotic large subunit ribosomal RNA", at positions 666 to 944 of the family's 3401-position model. The record is from RNAcentral. Lineage: Eukaryota; Metazoa; Arthropoda; Arachnida; Sarcoptiformes; Damaeidae.
CCAAGGAGUCUAACAUGUGCGCGAGUCACUCGGUCUUGAAUAGGCCAGAGAGGCGCAAUGAAAGUAAAGUUGAUUGAGUUACGAUCCUCAUGCCGGUUAUCCGUAGCGGUAACGGUGAGGCGCAGUAACAGCCCGCCAAUUUCGCUUAUUGACGAUCUGGCGGAGUUGUAGCGUACACGUUGGUACCCGAAAGAUGGUGAACUAUGCCUGGGCAAGACGAAGCCAGAGGAAACUCUGGUGGAGGUCUGUAGCGAUUCUGACGUGCAAAUCGAUCGUCAGACCUGGGUAUAGGGGCGAAAGACUAAUCGAACCAUC